Molecule: ribosomal RNA, 230 nt
Filed under: uncultured microorganism
Description: partial 16S ribosomal RNA
Rfam family: Bacterial small subunit ribosomal RNA
Source: RNAcentral
UACGUAGGGGGCAAGCGUUAUCCGGAAUCACUGGGCGUAAAGGGUGCGUAGGUGGCUUAUCAAGCCAGGGGUGAAAGGCAUUGGCUCAACCAAUGUAAGCCUUUGGAACUGAUAGGCUUGAGUGCAGGAGAGGUAAGUGGAAUUCCUAGUGUAGAGGUGAAAUUCGUAGAUAUUAGGAGGAACACCAGUGGCGAAGGCGACUUACUGGACUGUAACUGACACUGAGGCAC